UAAGCAACAUCACUAUUACCUUCUUUGUUGCGAAGACCCUGAGAUUCACCCUGAAGCCGUGCUUUCUCAUGAACCUCACCCCAGACACGCGUAACACGAGAAGCCAGGAAAUGAAAGAGCACAACACAACUUUAAUCGUGUCCACCGGUCCACAUACACUCCUUGCAUCACUGGACAAGUCAACAUAUGACCAAGAAGGAGCGUCUUGGCUGCUAUCGACCUGGCUCAACCCAAGACUCUCGUUCAACCAGCCUGAUAGCUUUACAAGCACCUUUGCCAGCCACGCGAUUUCAUCAUCUGAGAUGGGCCGCUUUAUCC
This 318-nucleotide long non-coding RNA is filed under the name Nicotiana benthamiana. Its description in RNAcentral is "long non-coding RNA (NBEN_LNC037864)". The record is from RNAcentral. Lineage: Eukaryota; Viridiplantae; Streptophyta; Magnoliopsida; Solanales; Solanaceae.